CCCAGGCAUGGUAGAAUAAAUAGAAUUAAGAAGUGCAUGUCGCCAACACCUUUGACAAAAAAUAUAGUAACCCUAAUAUUCCUAAUAAUAAAUAAAUAUAAAUACCAUUGAAACUUCCACCGAAAUACCAGCCAAACACAAUCGCCAUGAAUCAAAUUUAAUUCUUUAUUGUUCACUUGAACUGUACAUUGUUCUUGGCCGUCUGCUCAGUCGCACUUGAUGUGGCGCCCAUUUUUUGUAAGCUAUAUUUUAUAACAAAAGACAUUUGGUUGUAGCUGCAACCGAUAUGAACUUCCACGCUGCUAAGCUGCUUAUAACACCGCAUUAUCGAAAAGAACUCUUCUUCGUCAACUGUACACGACUGAGCAAAGCUAUAAGCCAGUUCAUUCGUUAC
Molecule: non-coding RNA, 394 nt
Organism: Paramuricea clavata
Lineage: Eukaryota; Metazoa; Cnidaria; Anthozoa; Malacalcyonacea; Plexauridae
Source: the annotation of a GenBank genome assembly